Molecule: RNA transcript, 2503 nt
Organism: Physeter macrocephalus (sperm whale)
Lineage: Eukaryota; Metazoa; Chordata; Mammalia; Artiodactyla; Physeteridae
Gene name: rho guanine nucleotide exchange factor 7-like
Exons: 6
Source: RefSeq, a predicted model, not a curated record
GGAAUCUGGCCUGGCCUCCUGCUCCGACGGAAGCCGAGCUCCCAGGUGUGCCGCCUCCCUGGGGUCUCACCUGCGAAGCCUGCUGUCUUCCUCUUACUGCGCAGAGCUGCCCCACACCGGACUCUGCUAAUUCUGCUUGUUCACUUUUCCCUUUCAGACAUUUGAUGCCAACGAUUUGUAUCAGGGGCAGAAUUUCAGCAAGGUCCUCAGCUCCUUAGUGACUCUAAAUAAAGUAACAGCAGCUUUUAAGCAAGAGGACUGAGCCUUCUCAGAUGAAGAGAACUUUUCGCUUCUGUAUUUGUUGGCCACUGCUCUUCACUUGCGUCUCUGAGCCUUGUGAGGUGCGUGAAGCGUGCCCGCCGUCGUGCCGAGGGCAUCGUCCUCAGAAGGGCCUUUCUGGAUGGAAAGUGCCGGGGGUUCUGUUUGUUUCAAGUGAGGGGAAGGUACCGAAAACAGUUACGAAACGCGUUGUAAACUGGGAACUUAGAUAGAGAAGGGCUGCUAAGUGGUUACGUUCAGACAUCGGCCUGGGAAGUGACUCCGUGUGUGCCCGGCCCUCCUCUCACCGGAUCAAGUCUUUCGACUCCCUGGGACCCCAGCCUUCGCACGGUCGGACUUCAAAAUUGUUCCAGGGCCAGUAUCGGAGUUUGGACAUGACGGAUAAUAGCAACAAUCAACUGGUCGUAAGAGCCAAGUUUAACUUCCAGCAGACCAAUGAAGACGAGCUGUCCUUUGCGAAAGGCGACGUCAUCCACGUCACGCGGGUGGAGGAAGGGGGCUGGUGGGAGGGCACGCACAGCGGCAGGACCGGCUGGUUCCCCAGCAACUACGUGCGCGAGAUCAAGCCCAGCGGUGAGUGGCCGGCGGGGGCAGCAGGAGGCAGGGCACGUGCUCGGGACGCUCGCCGCACCUGGCUCCCCGUCCUGGGCGGGGUCGCUCUCCGUGUUCUUUCUGCGAGGGGGAGUGGUGUUUGCCCCCGCGCUGGGGAAAGGGCUGCACGGUCACAGGCUAGCUUUUCAUUCCAUUGCGACAUCAGCACUUUAAAAUAGGGACUUACUCUGUUAUUUUCCAUUUGUAAGGAGAAACUAUCUCAAAUCUGUUAGUUUUUAUUUUUGUGGUUACACUUUUAUAUAAGGUAAAAUUUAUUACCCUUUUGUAGGGCUAGUGUCAGGACUGGGAGUUUGCUCUAUCAUGCAAGCUAUGUUGAGUUUCUUACUGUGGGUGCUUUUGCCCAUCAUGUACAGUUAAGUAAUUUCUGUCCUUUUCUUUGUGCUAAUAAUAGCAUUUUAAAAUGCAUCGCUUUCCUUAGGUUUUCUGCAAUUGCUUAAUAUUAGUGAAUUUAAAAAGUUACUCAGAGGCUUAUCUUAUUUUGAAAGGGAAUAGUGGUACUGGCACUUUUUUCAUUUCUGCUUAGAUUCACGUCGUGGAAUCGCAGGUUCUCUCUACGGCCUGGGAUCUGUGAUUUAUGUCACUCCGGUAUGGGUGUGAAAGUUCUGGCGCACGGCCUCUGCGUGUGUGUGCGUGGUGCUGUCCUGCGUGGCGUCACGGCGGGGUAAUGGCAGGCCACCCGAGCACGUUUGCCCGGCAGUCCCUCGUUCCCUGAAGCAGCGUUAAUUUAUCGACAGAGACUGCUGGUUUUAUCAGUGCAGUCAUGUAGUCCUUGCCUUCAUGGGUUCCUGUGUAUUUGUGUAUAUGUUUGUAUUCAUAUGAAGCUGGGGUGUAGGCGCUCUGAUGAGUGAGAUUUCAGAAGCGGCGUCUUGAAGGGAAGAGUGGGUGGCCGGAGACGCAGAGGUGGGGAGAGAUUUGCAAGCCGAGUCUGCUGUGACUUGACUCGCGUGUCAUCCGUUGACUGGAAAGGCCUUGCUGCGUGCUGCGGUGUUCUGGUUCUGCCUGGGGAGAGUGGUGGUGGUCCGCGGUGCGGGUAGGGCCGCGUGGGAGGAGUGUGAUGGGAGUGGCUCCGCGCGGGGAGGAGCACCGGGGCCCGCGGGCGUUUCAGGUUAGGGUGCCGGGGCGGCGCUCCCUCGCGGGGUCAGCGGGGCUCCCUCGUUGGGGUUGGUCCAGCCUGUGCUGCGGGCCUGGCACAGAGCAGGAGCUCAGGGAGCCAUAACUGCUGCUCUUUGGAUUUUGAGGUGGCAAGAAGAAAGGCUGUCUAAAAGAGAAUGUGACAGCUUUGAUAAAACGAGUAUUUUCCUGGCAGUGACGUCAAACCGUAAGUAUUUUAAUAAGGCAGCCUGCAGCCCUGAUUGGUAAAGGUUUCCGGUGUUGGAUUCUGGGGGGAAUAACACGUGCUUCUUCUGUCUUUUUUAGAUUGUAGUAAAAUUUACCAUAAUGUAAAAUUGACCAUUUUAACUGUUUAAAAAAAAAUUUUUAUGUGUACAGUGUAGUGGCACUAAGUACGUUCACAUUGUUGUGCAGCCAUCACCACCAUCCGUCUCAGAACUUUCUCAUCUUCCCAAACUCUCAACCCAUUAAACAGUUCCUGUCUCCCCUGAGCCCCUGGCAG